GUAAGUCUGCGAUAAGCUUUGUGUGAAGUUUGUCAAACAGUAUCUGUGAUUACCAAGAUUUCCCCGGGUGAACUGAAACAUCUAAGGUACCGUAAUGGAGCCAAUCUGUAAAGAUGUCAUGUCCCGGGUGAACUGAAACAUCUAAGGUACCUUUUACAUCGAAAGAGGGAACCGGGGUGAACUGAAACAUCUAAGGUACC
This 200-nucleotide ribosomal RNA is filed under the name chlamydia-associated clinical sample 576-S. RNAcentral describes it as "partial 23S ribosomal RNA". The record is from RNAcentral.